UACGGGGGGGGCAAGCGUUGUUCGGAAUUACUGGGCGUAAAGGGCUCGUAGGCGGCCAACUAAGUCAGACGUGAAAUCCCUCGGCUUAACCGGGGAACUGCGUCUGAUACUGGAUGGCUAGAGGUUGGGAGAGGGAUGCGGAAUUCCAGGUGUAGCGGUGAAAUGCGUAGAUAUCUGGAGGAACACCGGUGGCGAAGGCAGCUCGCUGGGACGGUACUGACGCUGAGGCGCGAAAGCGUGGGGAGCAAACAGG
This 253-nucleotide ribosomal RNA is filed under the name uncultured bacterium. RNAcentral describes it as "partial 16S ribosomal RNA". It matches the Rfam family "Bacterial small subunit ribosomal RNA", at positions 524 to 776 of the family's 1533-position model. The record is from RNAcentral.